GCGGAUAUGGUGGAAUUGGCAGACACGCAGGAUUUAGGUUCCUGUGGGAGACCGUGCAGGUUCGAGUCCUGUUAUCCGCACCA
RNAcentral lists this transfer RNA (83 nucleotides) under Bacillota bacterium. Its description in RNAcentral is "tRNA-Leu". It matches the Rfam family "tRNA". From Rfam's summary of the family: Transfer RNA (tRNA) molecules are approximately 80 nucleotides in length. Lineage: Bacteria; Bacillati; Bacillota. The record is from RNAcentral.